This 450-nucleotide ribosomal RNA is filed under the name uncultured bacterium. RNAcentral describes it as "partial 16S ribosomal RNA". It matches the Rfam family "Bacterial small subunit ribosomal RNA", at positions 329 to 793 of the family's 1533-position model. The record is from RNAcentral.
UGCCAGACUCCUACGGGAGGCAGCAGUGGGGAAUAUUGCACAAUGGGGGAAACCCUGAUGCAGCGACGCCGCGUGAGCGAAGAAGUAUUUCGGUAUGUAAAGCUCUAUCAGCAGGGAAGAAAAAAAUGACGGUACCUGAGUAAGAAGCACCGGCUAAAUACGUGCCAGCAGCCGCGGUAAUACGUAUGGUGCAAGCGUUAUCCGGAUUUACUGGGUGUAAAGGGAGCGUAGGCGGCCUGCCAAGUCUGAUGUGAAAUACCGGGGCUCAACCCCGGGGCUGCAUUGGAAACUGGCAGGCUGGAGUGUCGGAGAGGCAGGCGGAAUUCCUGGUGUAGCGGUGAAAUGCGUAGAUAUCAGGAGGAACACCGGCGGCGAAGGCGGCCUGCUGGACCGCUACUGACGUUGAGGCUCGAAAGCGUGGGGAGCGAACAGGAUUAGAUACCCUUGUAC